CCCUCUCUAACUUAAGCAUCGGAGGGUCCUCAUCGAACAUAAAUCCGGUCAGUGCGGACGUUAUCUUGCAGGUAUUCAUUUUCGAUGACAGGCGAUGGAGAGUUGGCCGCAAUAAGAAGUAUUUCUAUACUGUUCUGAAUAUAAAAACCAUGCAAUUAGAAAAUCUCAAAAGGUACACAGGUUACUCUUUGGCACAGUUUCAUUCUAGGCACAUAGAAGGCAUUAUCACAGUUCGUGUUUCAAAGGUUCUCGAAAAGUGGUG
This 262-nucleotide long non-coding RNA is filed under the name Elaeis guineensis (African oil palm). Its description in RNAcentral is "long non-coding RNA (EGUI_LNC077617)". The record is from RNAcentral. Lineage: Eukaryota; Viridiplantae; Streptophyta; Magnoliopsida; Arecales; Arecaceae.